AGGGGCAUAGUUCAAGGGUAGAACAGUGGUCUCCAAAACCAUCGAUGAGAGUUCGAAUCUUUCUGCCCCUG
This 71-nucleotide transfer RNA is filed under the name Lachnospiraceae bacterium. RNAcentral describes it as "tRNA-Trp". It matches the Rfam family "tRNA". From Rfam's summary of the family: Transfer RNA (tRNA) molecules are approximately 80 nucleotides in length. RNAcentral also lists the same sequence under 1 other name. Lineage: Bacteria; Bacillati; Bacillota; Clostridia; Lachnospirales; Lachnospiraceae. The record is from RNAcentral.